This 433-nucleotide ribosomal RNA is filed under the name uncultured bacterium. RNAcentral describes it as "partial 16S ribosomal RNA". It matches the Rfam family "Bacterial small subunit ribosomal RNA", at positions 29 to 507 of the family's 1533-position model. The record is from RNAcentral.
AACGAACGCUGGCGGCAUGCCUAACACAUGCAAGUCGAACGAGACCUUCGGGUCUAGUGGCGCACGGGUGCGUAACGCGUGGGAACCUGCCCUUAGGUUCGGAAUAACUCCCCGAAAGGGGUGCUAAUACCGGAUAAUGUCUUCGGACCAAAGAUUUAUCGCCUUUGGAUGGGCCCGCGUUGGAUUAGCUAGUUGGUAGGGUAAAAGCCUACCAAGGCGACGAUCCAUAGCUGGUCUGAGAGGAUGAUCAGCCACACUGGGACUGAGACACGGCCCAGACUCCUACGGGAGGCAGCAGUGGGGAAUAUUGGACAAUGGGCGAAAGCCUGAUCCAGCAAUGCCGCGCGAGUGAUGAAGGCCUUAGGGUUGUAAAGCUCUUUUACCCGGGAUGAUAAUGACAGCACCGGGAGAAUAAGCUCCGGCUAACUCCGUG